Acanthochromis polyacanthus (spiny chromis) is the source of this 8376-nucleotide long non-coding RNA. RefSeq lists it as uncharacterized. The transcript is spliced from 5 exons. Lineage: Eukaryota; Metazoa; Chordata; Actinopteri; Pomacentridae. The record is from RefSeq and is a predicted model, not a curated record.
GUUUAUAUGUGUUAGUGUGCGUCAGAGAGAAGGAAAAAAAGGCGUAUAUGGUGUGUGUUUGCUUGUGCCUGCAGCAGGGUGAAACAUGGAGGUGUACGGGGGAUGAUCAGACAGAAGGCCAUCUGAGAGCACAACACACACUCCAUCUGGACUCACAUUCACUGUGAAAAAGAGUGUGAAAGAAGAAAGAGACACACAGAGAAGGUUUGCAUUGAUUUGCUGAUCUGUCCGCCGCUGUUUGAGAAAGAAAUCCAGCUUUCAGCUCAGAGGAACCAACUUGAAUGAAGUCAGGAAAGGAAAACGAUAACAGCACAUCAUAGAUGAGUAGUCCGAGGACAGUCAGAAAGCCAAACAUCGGAUGAUUCCUCCUGUUUUCACAUCUUCUGGCUGGUAAUCGGCAUCAUUUUGGACUCCAGUAAAGAAACAGUAGCUGUCAUAGCCACAGGAUGCUGUAAUAGUCGACUCUGUGAGGUUGACGUCAGUGGAAACUCAGUCGACUGAUUCAUCUCUGCUCAGCUGGGGGCUGAAGCCUCGUCUCAGGGGACCAAGGCCGGGAUUCCUCAGGUUCCAGGAUGUCUGCUCCGACGGAGGAAGCAGGAAACCUGGUGCUCACAUUAGCAAUGACAUCAGUGCUGGAGGAAAAGCCUGCACAGAAAAGGUGUGGCGGCACGAUUAAUGGCUGGUUUGUCACAGAUGUUGCACAGAAAUGACUUUUUUGUGAAAUAGUGCAUCAAGACAAACAACUUAUCUGCUGGAAAACUUCACUUAAACACCCUGCAGCAGUGAGAAAGUCUAAAGAGAUACUUUUUCUUUACUUUUUGGGGUCAGAAGUUCUCCUGAUACCAACAGAUCGACUGACUUUCUCAGCUUCUUUCAAGUUGUUUUGGAAAAGUACGGAGAGCUUUUUGGACACAGGCCUGUUUCUACUCACAAUAUGCUCUAUAUUUAGUCUGGAGUUUGUUUUAAACACAUACACAGUGUGUGUGAAUGCAGUGUGUACCUUCCCCGGGUUUGUUUGUGCAGGUUUUACACAUAUAGCUCAGGCCCUGUUUGUUCUGGAUGGAUGCGUUUAGCUGCUGGUCUCCAAAGCCUGAGCUCAGGUAGGAAAGCAAACUGCUGCAAGCUGAAGCCUGUAAGGAGUGAAAGAGUCUGUUUUCAAGAGAAUAAAAGUCUGCAGACACACAGUAAAAAUGUUUUUAACUGAAGUUUCUUUAACAAUUUGCUGUUAUUUUACAGUUUUCCCUUGUUUUACCAUUAAAAAAGAUGCAUGUUAAGGAUCAAAAUAUUCCCACCAUCACAUUUUCAUUGUAGUUUUAGACCCAGUUUAAAAUUUUAUUCUUUAAAAAGAAGCAUUUCUGCAAAGUUCUAGUUUUCAGCGGGAUGUUGUCAUUUAGUUCCCAGAAUGUUGACUUAUAGAAAGAAAGAAAAGUUACAGCAUUUUCUGAAUAUUAGAAUCUUACACCGAGGAACAUUCUUCUUCUUUUGUUGUUAUUUGUCUGAAUGUGAACAUGUUCUGUCUUAGUUAACCUUUAACCUCACUGAAACAUGAUUUCAAACAUUAGACGAAAAGGUUUUCUUUAAAACAUUAUUAGAACUUGUAGGUAAUAUUAGCCAGUGUUGUGUGGAUGUGUUCUGCUUAUCUGGCCGACAUCCACAACAUAAACCGAUAAAAUACCCCAAAAAAGGACUAAAAGAAGAGUUAAGGGAUAAUAAUAACUUUUAAAAUUUAUCCUGACAGGGACACUAAGAAAUGACAUAUUAAUCUGGAGCUGUCACAAAAGACUAUUUUUCUGUCAAAUAGACUAUUACACAGAUUAGUUGAUUAAUUUAAAUUAUUAAUUUUCCUCCAAACGAAGUUUGUUCACUAAAACAAAAACACUCUACAAGAUGAAACAGAAUUAAUUUAGGAAUAAACUGGCAGUAGUAAUUAUUUUACUGUCUAGGUUACACGGAUUAUGCCUUGUACACAUGCCCAGGAAUUAGCAUCUUUAUCUUCUACAAUUCACUUUUUUACCCGUUUUCACUGUGCUGACACAAAUUUUGGCAGAUCUUGGAACUUUAACGUCACUCAGACCCUCAUAGACUCAGAAAUUUAAUGGAGGAAGAUUCAUUUUUUGUGAAUUUAAUGAUUUUUCCUGCAAACCCAAGAAGUCAGCUCAUCUGAAGCCAUGAGAUUUUUACAACAAUUCCUGCUUGACUUUCUCUCAUUUGCCUGAACCAGAAUUCAUAGUUGGUCAUCCAGUAAUGGAGACAUUUUACUUGACACCGCAAACGUAAAAUCUCAUACUGUGCAAGAAGAAAACUUGGGGGAUUAUUGGGAUUACACAUCAUCACUAAGUAUGUGUACUAAAUUCCCUGGCAAUCCAGUCACUAUUUCAGUAUCAACCAAAGAAAAGACUCAGCCAUUACUAGAAACUAGUGGUGGGAUGUGAUUUUAAAAAUUAAUCUAAGGCUUUGAAAUUAAUCACAAUAAAUUGUAUUUUUGUCAAAUAGCAAUAUUUGAUAGAAUAAGCAAAUUUUUUCAAUUCAAAUAAAUGUUGGUUGACAACUGAAUCGAUGAAUAGACAUAUACAUGAACUUAAACAGCAAAAAGGUUUGUUUCAUUUCUAUUUAUCUGCAUUUUUCAUCUGUUUACUACAUUCACAGAUUACUGCAAACUCAAAGUGCAAAUAUAGUGAUUAUAUUCAACAUUAUAUUCAGCUUUAAGUGCUGUGGUGAUAAGAAAACUUUAUGUUGAGUAAUUUGAACACAACCACGCUUUUAUCCAAGCUGACAUCGGGACAGUUUUUUAAAAAAUAUUUUAUUUUUGAUAGUAACAGUUAAGACUGACAGGAAACAUGCAGCAAAGGGCCAUGGGCAGGAAUCAAACCUGGGCCACUGCGUCAGAGACCAGCCCCUGUACAUGGGUCACCUGCUUAACCAGAUGAGCUACACGUGCGCACAGGACAGUUUUUUAAAAGAAAACUUUUCACCCAACAUGCUCAGUGCGGUCUCAUCUUUUAUCACUAUUCAACAGACUUUCUUGUGCACUGGCAUCACUCAGUGUGUCCUGUGCAUCUUCUUCGCAGCUGGAAAACAGACUUUAAGUGCAUUACUGCCACCUACUGGAGUUGGAGUGUGAAUCAGUGUUAACAGUGUGCCAGAAAAUAAGUAACUGAGAAAGGUACGAUUAAAUGCGUCAUUUUUUUAACAUGUUAUUUUUUUCUGCAAUUAAUUAAUCGAAAUUAACGCUUUAAAGUCCCAGCCCUACAAGAAAGAUACAAAUAAUAAACAAAAGCAGUCCCCACAUUCCUGCAGUCCAGUGACUGAUGUGAUGUCACUACUGUAAAGCAGAAGUAAGUGGAUCAGGCAUCAUCAUCAUCUCUUAAUAAACUCUUCCUUCUGAGACUAUCUUUGUCUUCUCUGUCAGCCUGCAAUCAUGGCCAUCUGUGCCAUUUAUGGAGCAGAAAGCAGCAAACUCAGCCAGAUCCCUUCUCCGCCUCCCCUCAAUCUGUCCGUCCAACAUGCACGUUAUUGAACAGCCUUCACAGCUCCUCAUUUGCCAAACCAGCUGUGGAGCUGGAACCGAGACUCAAGUUCGACCCAGAUGUCCCUGAAAAGAGACUCUGAGCCGAGAGGACGACUGCACUUUUUCGCAAUUCUUGGAGAUGAUUUAAAAGCAAUGAUUUUUUUCUCUUUUGUUGUGGUGAAACACAUUCUCUAAAUAUUCCCCUAUGAGGAAAACUCGUGUAUAAAUGCUGCCUGACUUUUAUAAACCUCCAGCAGGACAUGCCGCUUCAAUUGGAGACUUUGAAGCUUUCCUUUUUUUGUUGUGAAGUCUAGAAUAUCAAAGCUGCUGAUUGCGCCUCGUGUUGCGCAUUUAGCUGCAUGUUUUCUCCAACUAUCCCCUCCUGUCUGACUGUUUUACUGCAGGGAUCUUUCUCAUGUUAGCAAAGCAUCAGCUCCCGUCUGCAUUCUUUCAGAGGAGAAUGCCCGAGGAGGAGGGAUAAAAAUCCAGGAAAUGACUGAGAAUGAGAAUAACCCACUCGCUCUAUGAAAUCCACCCUCAAAAAUCAUGACAUUUAAGCUUGACUGAGGAGGAGAUGGAGGGAAAACUGAACUGGAUCACCUCCAAAUCACUUAGUAUGGUGCUUAAGCAAGCUCAGAUGAUUGGCAGAUACUUACACAGACCUUUGACUUUCAUGGCGACACAAAACACUUACAUUUUAUCAUUUCCUAUCUCUAUAUUCAGCUGUGAAGGGCUGCACAUGGGGCAAUUUUCUAUAAUUUACUGCAAUUACUGUCUAAUACUGUCCAUGCAAACUAUUCUUUGCAUGACAUUCGGGGUAUUUUCAGGACUCCUUCGGGUCUUGUCUUGCUCAGUUCGAAUCCCAAAUGAUGUUGGGACUCAAGAAACAAUCAUGCAUUUUGUUUUUUUCAUACAUUUAUUAAAGAUAUUCUGGAAACAUGACAAAAUCUGCAGGAUUUCACUUGGAACAUUGUGCUAUAAGAUGGAAAAAAAAUUGAGCUCUUUGACCAUAAUGACCAGAAAUAGGUUAUAAGGAACGAAGCUGAGGCCUUUAACCCCAAGAACACAAACCUACCAUCCAGCAUGGUGGUGGCAGUAUUAUGCUCUGGGGCUGUUUUGCUGCCACUGGUGCUUUACAUAAAGUAAAUGGGAUAAUGAAGAAGGAGGAUCAGUUGCACAUUCUUCAGGAAAACUUUCAUGGUGACACAAAACACUUGCAUUUUAUUAUUCUCUGUCUCCAUGUUCGGCUAUGAGGGGCCACACGUGCUGCAACGUUCUAUAGUUUACUGAAAUUACUGUCUAAUACUGUCCAUGCAAACUCGUCUUUGUGCGACAUUCGGGGGAUUUUCAGGACUCCAUCGGACCACGUCUGCUCAAUUCGGGUCCCAGAUGAUGUCAAAGUGAAGCCGCUUCACACGGUCAUUUGUGUAAUUGUGUGAGAAAGUCUGUGCCGCAGAGACUUUGUGCUCAUUGGAACUGUCACUGUAGCACUUACACUGCUGUUGUCUCUGUGAAAUGUCAACAUUAGUACAACGCAGACUGUCUGCCUCUGCACUCCACAAUGGGACUGUUGUAUCAGCGUCAAAGACAUGACAAAGUGUUUAAAGUACGGGACACUUGGAAAAGCUUAGCUCGGCUCUGUUUUGGAAUACGUGUGUUUUUUUGCAGAACAUCUGAAGCUUUGUUCCGAACGCAGCACCGUGUCAUAAUUACAGCCAGUUUCUCUGCCUCGGUGGUUGAAAUGUUUUUAAUGUUGCGAGACAUCAGACUGACAUGAAAGAGAAUAUUUUUAAUGCCGCAGCCUGGAAAAUGUGCAACAACUGAUGAUGAUUAUUCAGCCUUCUCUUCAACUGUCGCUUCUCUGCUUGUUCUCUCUCGCACACAUCUUGCAUAAGAAUCUGAUACUGUCUUUUGAACGCUUGUAAAUGAAUCCAUGCAGCGUGGCCUCUAGCAGAUUCGAAGGAAGGAUGACCCAUAUUAAAAAGGUUCAACAACAUGUUUUAGAUUAGGAUUAUGUUUUCCAUAUGCCCACCUACGUUUAUUAGCAGAAUUCAUCCCAUUCUUGUACUCUGGAUGUUGGGUAUUUUCAAAGUUACAAAGCUGUAUUAUUCUCUUUUUGUGGAUGAGACAUAUCAUUAAACUACAGCUGACCAUACUUCAACACAUACGGUCUGAUGUCACUGGACAUUUACAGUCGUGAACAAAGGUUCACAUACACUUGUAAAGACCAUAUGUAUCAUGGCAGUCUAGAGAUUCCAGUGACUCCAAUAACUGAAUUUUCUUUGAUGGAAUCAUUGAAACACAUGUAUCUUUGUCACGAGAAAAACAAUCAUACAUUUAGGUUCUUUCGUAGAUUUAUUAAAGGUCUUCUGGAAAUGACAGAAUAUACAGGCUUUCUAUAAGAUAGCUAUGGUAUCAGAUGAAAAAUGACCUAUUUGACCAGAGUGCCCAGAAAUAUGUUUGAUAGAGAGACGGUGAGGCCUUUAACCCCCCAAAUACCAAACCUACCGUCAAGCACGGAGGUGGCAGUGUUAUGCUCUGGAGCUGUUUUGGUGCCAGUGGAACUGGAGCUUUACACAAACUGAAUGGAAUAAUGAAGAAGAAGGAUUACUUCCACAUUCUUUAGAAAAACUUAAAUUCCUUAGCCAGAAGGCUGGAUCUUGAACACAGCUGGGUGUCCCAACAAGACAAUGACCUCAAACACACAUCAGAGUGGUAAAGAAAUGUUUAAAUCAGGCUAGAAUUAAACAUAAACUCCAUCAAGAACCUGUGAAGAAAGAAGUCUGUAUAAAAAAGCCAACAAAUUUAGCUUAACUGCACCACUUCUGUGAAGACGAGGGUUAAAGAUACAACCAGAAGCAUGAGGAGAGCUACCAAAAGCACUUAGUUGAUGUGAAAAUGGAGAAAGAGCUUUUAACCAACUAUUGGUUUUGCUGUUUGUAUAUUUUUUUGACAAGGAGAUUUUAUCAUAUUUCCAGAUCAGUAACAAAUCCAUUGAAACACAAACAUGCAUGAUUGUUGUGACAAAGACACACGAUUUUCAAUGGUUCCAUCACAAAAAAAUAAGACUUAUAGGUGUCAUUGAAAACUCAAGACUAUAUACAUGAUCUUUACAAGUGUAUGGAAACUUUUGUUCACAACUGUAUGUGUUUCACAGUUUGAAAGAACCCCAUAUAAAGGUUGGAGGGGUGGAAGUAAGUCAUUCAGGUGACGGAAGUUUGUGUCUUUUCUUACGUCAUUCUGUGACUUAAAUCGUAACGUGAAAAUUUAAGCUCCAAAACUAGUCAUUUUGAGGAAAAAAAUCCUUGUUUAAGUUAAAUUGCACCCUUUCGCAUGACAUCCAUUUCUAAAGUUCAUAGAUCUUAAUUGGUCUAUCAGACUACUGUGAAUGUUGAAAAAUGAUGCUUAUAGGUAUGUGGUGCAUUCAAACAUGACAUCAAUUGAUCCUUGACAUACAUGACAAGUUGUGAAUAAAACCAUGCUCUGAACCAUAGGCCGUGUAAAAUGUAAAAUACUUACUCUUAUAAUCUAGAUAUUAGAUUCCAAUGUUUCAACUCUUUACAAAAAACAAAGUUCAACUCCUGAGAGACUAAAAUCAGGGCUUAAAAGAUGCCAAAAUAAUCUCUGCUGCUUGUAAAGCUCACUCACUGUGAACAUAUGUUAGAUCUUAAUACUGAGAUAAAAAUGUCAACCGUUUUCCAUUCAAGCAUCAUACUGUAAAGCACAAUGUUUUGUUCCUUGUCUGUAGCGAUUUACUCUAUUCAGCUUCAAUGUUAAAGUUGACUGUGGGGUACAAAAGUUCAGAGACUAUGUUUAUAUGUUUAUAAUGUGCAAAAAACUGUACCUGAUCUAAAUUUCUCUGCCAUCCCUGUUGCAGUCGUCUUGUGCAGCGACACACUGCUCCUACUGCUCCUGGAACGCUUGUAAAACUCCCUGGAAGUCCUGUUAUGUACACAUGUCAAGAACCAUCUGAGAUGAAUCUCCUACACUGUGUCAAAACAGAGACCCUUCAACUUUGAAUUUCAUUGUAGGAAUGAGGAAAAAAAUCACAGGAAGUUAAAUCUGGUGAACAAGCCGGAGAAAGACUAACAAUUGUGCAACAAACAAAAAGCACUGUGAUGGAGCUCAAACCACAUUAGAGUAUUACCAUGCCUUCGUGCCUCCGUUCAGGUGAUUUACACCAAACGUUCCCCCACAGGUGCCUCAGCAUGUUGCAGUUGAACUUGAUUUUGUAAAUUCAACCGUGGGGGAGGAAUUCAUGACCAACAGAUGAAUGGUAAAUAUUGGUCCUGGUGCACUCCUGACCUGACAUCUUGUCCGGUCUUUAAAAAUGCGGUUCUUUUACUGUAAAAAUGGUUGUUUCUUCUCUUGAUGUAGCUACAGACACACCUCUGGUCACCAGUGAUGAUCCUCCACAUAAAGACUGGAUCAUCUGGCUGCUGACUAACAUACUCUGAUGUCUGCUGUCUGACAGUGUGAGAUUCAUGAAAAAUUCGUAACUGUGCAGCGAUCAGUGGUACCAAGAAAUGUGUAACACGGGCGUCGGUAUUGAGUUGGUGUAAUGUGGUUGCCUGACUUCUGACAGUUACUGCCUGCACGUGUUGCACAUGCAUGACAUUCUUGGUGCAACAUUAGCAGUCUCAGAACUUUUUGAUCGCACCUUAAAUCUGCUGCUGUGCACGACACUGUUGAUCGUAAUGGACGGAAAGGUGUAAACAGCAAAACGCAACCAGAUGCUGCAGAUGUGUCGUUUGAUAUCUUGGUAUUUUUGGCAUUCUGCUUUUGACAUACUAUGCACUUGGAAAUAGUAAAUCUUCUACUCUUGUAUUAUGUAGUUUGAUGGUAUGGAUAUUGGAAGUCACACUUGG